CAGAGUAGAGAGGGAGGGAGGGAAGAGGAGAUCUAAGGUCAGGUUGCCGGGCUCAGGGAGGGCUGGGGAUCGGGGGCGGAUCUAAGGUCAGGUUGCCAGCUCAGGGAGGGCUGGUGGGGUAGGCUGAGCUGGCUGGGGCCUCAGUGAGGUAGGGCUGGCAAGGGGAGCUAGAAUGUUCUGGGCUGGGGGUGGGGGAUAAAGUGAGGGGCAGGGCCACCUGAGAUGAGAUAGGAAGCAUGGGGGAGGUGCAGCUGGGGGGCAGGCAGCCUUAUUUAACACAAGCCAGGGGAGAGAAGUGGGCAGGCGUCCCUGACUUUGUAGCCUGCAAAUGAAAACUUGGGCCUUAGGCUCCACGACAGGAUAGACUCUUGAUGAGGACUGGGCGUCCUUAGGUGGGCGUGGGCUUCCAGGACCCCCCUACUCACAGCCUCCUCAGCCUGCCUCUUGUAAGCCUUCACUUUGGCUUGCAGCUUGUUCACCAGAUCCUGGAGCCUGAGGAUGUUCUUGUGGUCCUCCUCGGCCUGCAAACAUAGCAUCGUGCCACCGCCACCGCAGCUUAUGCCGGGGUCGGAGCAACCUGGAGCUCACGGAGGCUUUGGAGACACCUACCUGGUCUCAAGGGAAAAGCAAGGGGUCCCGGCAACAAAGGAAGCCUUUCGCGAAGGGACAAAAACAAAUACAGAUCAGCUCCCAGAUUCAGAAAGAUGCAAGACUGCCUCUGUACUGGGGGUAGAGUUUUUUCUGCGGAAAAACGUGGGAGGAAGUGCCAGUCACUUGCCCUUUAGGACGGAGCGAGGGAGAAGCUUCCCAGCAUUGCAGCCUGACUGGGUUCAGAGACUGAGAAGUCUGGGACAAACGGGAGCCGGCAGGUGGGAGCUGAAGAGAGACUCUAGACUUUACGUAGGAUGAGCCAUUGUUCACCAAAACAGAGGCUGGUCCAAAAUGUAACUUACAUAAACUACAUAAUGUUAUGAAUGCAAAGUACAUUUCCCCUCACUUAUAUGGAUCUGAAUUCCUAUAAAAACAGGAUGUGACUAUUUGCAAGUGUCUUUAUUCUGCAGCUCCUGAGGCAUGAGUGUUGUAAAGUGUGUGUGUGUGUUGGGAUGGAGGAACCAGUGAAGGAGACCUAGGUGGGCAUAUCGGCAUGUA
This 1149-nucleotide long non-coding RNA is filed under the name Mustela putorius furo (domestic ferret). RNAcentral describes it as "lncRNA (ENSMPUG00000026653.1)". Lineage: Eukaryota; Metazoa; Chordata; Mammalia; Carnivora; Mustelidae. The record is from RNAcentral.